RNAcentral lists this ribosomal RNA (378 nucleotides) under Shigella sonnei. RNAcentral's name for it is "bacterial SSU rRNA". It matches the Rfam family "Bacterial small subunit ribosomal RNA", at positions 1 to 375 of the family's 1533-position model. Lineage: Bacteria; Pseudomonadati; Pseudomonadota; Gammaproteobacteria; Enterobacterales; Enterobacteriaceae. The record is from RNAcentral.
AAAUUGAAGAGUUUGAUCAUGGCUCAGAUUGAACGCUGGCGGCAGGCCUAACACAUGCAAGUCGAACGGUAACAGGAAACAGCUUGCUGUUUCGCUGACGAGUGGCGGACGGGUGAGUAAUGUCUGGGAAACUGCCUGAUGGAGGGGGAUAACUACUGGAAACGGUAGCUAAUACCGCAUAAUGUCGCAAGACUAAAGAGGGGGACCUUCGGGCCUCUUGCCAUCGGAUGUGCCCAGAUGGGAUUAGCUAGUAGGUGGGGUAACGGCUCACCUAGGCGACGAUCCCUAGCUGGUCUGAGAGGAUGACCAGCCACACUGGAACUGAGACACGGUCCAGACUCCUACGGGAGGCAGCAGUGGGGAAUAUUGCACAAUGGG